This 802-nucleotide long non-coding RNA is filed under the name Anser brachyrhynchus (Pink-footed goose). RNAcentral's name for it is "lncRNA (ENSABRG00000002741.1)". The record is from RNAcentral. Lineage: Eukaryota; Metazoa; Chordata; Aves; Anseriformes; Anatidae.
UGAUGGUAGACCGAGCUUUUUCCUGAAGAAAAUCAGGAGUAUUCUCAUUUUGGGAUGUAGAUCUGUAUACUUAUGGCUGUACAUAUAGUUUUCCCUCAAACUGUUACUCAGUUUUCCUGGAAUGGGAUGGGAGGCAGAUGUACACUGCUGAAGACUGAGGUUAGUCUGUUCAAGUAAUGGACAAGACGGUAAGUCCCUGAUCUCCCAGUGGUGGUUUUGGAGGUCCCAACACCUGUUUUCUGUAGACAGCACCAAAUCUACCAAUUUUUGUCACCACAGCAGCGACAGCUGGAAAGCAGUGCCAGUUGUGUGGAAUCCAAGGGGCACUCUAGCUUUGCCCACAGGCCAAGGUUGGAGACACAAACUUCUCCACAUGUGGAGUUUUGGUUUACCAUCUUCAAGAAAUGCAUUGGGCUGAAUUAAACCCUAAACUGGCAAAGAAAGAGUUGUCAGGAGCUGCUGGGGAGGGCAGUCAGUGGUGAGUGACAGCACCUGGAGCUGCUGACAUUUUAAGUAGGUACACCUGUAGGGGACUUCUCCCUGGAAAGUGCCUUCAGAGCUGCUCUUCUAAGAGAAGGUUUGGAUUGAAGUUUAGGAUCAAAUUUAGUAUUGAGAAGAGGCUUAUGUUAGAUCUGCUUCUACCUGGACAAUUUGGCUUACAGUCUGAAUCUAACUUCAGAGAUUUUAAUCAUGGUCACAAAUCAGGUAACAAGAGAAUCUCCCUCUGUAUUUGCAUUUGUUUGUUGUAUUUUAUAUGGAAUAUGUUUUGAGGCAGAUGUUUGGCAGUGGCCUUUUAGGGGAG